UACGUAUGGUGCAAGCGUUAUCCGGAUUUACUGGGUGUAAAGGGAGCGCAGGCGGUACGGCAAGCCUGAUGUGAAAGCCCGCGGCCCAACCGCGGGACUGCAUUGGGAACUACCGGGCUGGAGUGCCGGAGAGGUAGGCGGAAUUCCUAGUGUAGCGGUGAAAUGCGUAGAUAUUAGGAGGAACACCAGUGGCGAAGGCGGCCUACUGGACGGUGACUGACGCUGAGGCUCGAAAGCGUGGGGAGCAAACAGG
Molecule: ribosomal RNA, 253 nt
Filed under: uncultured bacterium
Lineage: Bacteria
Description: partial 16S ribosomal RNA
Rfam family: Bacterial small subunit ribosomal RNA
Source: RNAcentral